ACUCAAAGGAAUUGACGGGGGCCCGCACAAGCGGUGGAGCAUGUGGUUCAAUUCGAAGCAACGCGCAGAACCUUACCAGCCCUUGACAUGGCAGGACGGUUCCCAGAGAUGGGUUCCUUCUCGCAAGAGACUUGCACACAGGUGCUGCAUGGCUGUCGUCAGCUCGUGUCGUGAGAUGUUGGGUUAAGUCCCGCAACGAGCGCAACCCUCGCCCUUAGUUGCCAUCAUUCAGUUGGGCACUCUAAGGGGACUGCCGGUGAUAAGCCGCGAGGAAGGUGGGGAUGACGUCAAGUCCUCAUGGCCCUUACGGGCUGGGCUACACACGUGCUACAAUGGCGGUGACAGUGGGAUGCAAUGGAGUAAUCCUGCGCAAAUCUCAAAAAGCCGUCUCAGUUCGGAUUGUGCUCUGCAACUCGAGCACAUGAAGUUGGAAUCGCUAGUAAUCGCAGAUCAGCACGCUGCGGUGAAUACGUUCCCGGGCCUUGCACACACCGCCCGU
RNAcentral lists this ribosomal RNA (499 nucleotides) under uncultured bacterium. RNAcentral's name for it is "partial 16S ribosomal RNA". It matches the Rfam family "Bacterial small subunit ribosomal RNA", at positions 899 to 1397 of the family's 1533-position model. The record is from RNAcentral.